UUGUGCCCUUCACCUUGCAUGGGAAUAAGGGGGGUGAGGGGGGAUGCCCCUCGGCCCCUCCCAUUCUCAAAAAGUGUGAUAAUGAGAAAUCGAAAAAUGUUAGAGUAGAAUAUAGUGUUGUGUUGACUGUAUCGACUAACCAAGAGGAAGUAUGGUCGCCAUCCAGAGGUGGGGGAGAAGUCGAUGUUGGAAAGGAGCCAAGUGUUGUAACCAGUCGCCGUGUGCAGCAUGUGCUAAAAGGAGUUGUUGCAGUCCAGAAGACGUGAUUGGUGUGUGAUAAUCCAGAGGGACAUUAACGCUCGACUGAAUGUUGGAAAUGAGAGGCAGUAAAGGUGUUUGAGGAUGGAGUGGUGGUGGGUAGUGCCGUAACCAGGUUGGACUACUACAUGU
This 390-nucleotide long non-coding RNA is filed under the name Homarus americanus (American lobster). Its description in RNAcentral is "uncharacterized LOC121868937". Lineage: Eukaryota; Metazoa; Arthropoda; Malacostraca; Decapoda; Nephropidae. The record is from RNAcentral.